GCGACAGGGACAUGGGCGGGCUGGGUCCCCAGCUCUCCCCGCUCCGCCCGGGCUGAGGGGCGGCCCCGCGGCCCCAGCCACGCCUUGAGGUGGUCCCUCAAACUAAGCUGUUUCGCCCGAAACCCGCCGCAUCUCUGAGGGGAAGCAGCGGGGCACGCUGAGGUGUUUCCAGCUCCUCCGAUAGGAUCCGCCUCAGCCGAUGACACCCCGUGGGAAGUGCUGGGUCCCUGCAGCCCCCUGGGCGCGAGGUGCCAACCGCAGCCCGCCCUUGAAUUGAGGGGUGCGGGUUUGGCCGCUGUGGCUGCAGGGAGAGGUGGGUUCCCCCCGUGCGGUGUCCGGGAGCCUGUCCCUGGAGAGCUGCCCAGGUCUAAUGAAGAAAAAAUAAAAGCAGGGCAUGUCGGAAGCACGCUGGUCCUCUCGUGCAAAUCCAGCGUGGGCAUUAUCAGUUUGAGGACUUCGACAUAUGCUUGCAGUAUAUGGAUAAAGAAAAGGUAUGAAGAUAUUUAUCAAGUCCUGCACUCUUUCAGGUUCUUUGCUAGGUCUAAGUGAGUUGACUCUGUUCCACUGUAGAUUUCAGUUGCUGAAAACAAAAAUCAGUGUUCUUAUUCUGAACAUGAAGAAACUUACAGCUGUACUGCAUCAGGUGGAGCUGCAGGGGAUGACUGGGACAGUUUCUUCUCCUUUCCUUUCUUAUUCCUGGUGACAGCAGUUUACUAUGGCUUGCAACAUAUUUUUUUUUUUCCUAUGUUCUGUCUGCAUGUUUAAAUUGAAGUUUGCAGCCGAUUAUUAUCUGUAUUUUCCAAGUGAAGGUGUAAGCAAUGUAUUACAAGAGUAAGUUUCUUAUUCCCUGUUACUGCCAUGAGUGAGUAGAAACUUGGCCUGACCUGGUGGUUCCUAGUCCUCAGUAAAGUGCCAGUCAAUUUUCAGAUCUGAUAACUGUAACUCUCACCGAUAGCCUCACUUUUCAUCAGCAAAUGAAAUUAUUUUAAUACUGCAGUGAAUUGGAAGCAUUCUAAAAUAAUCAAACCAGACACUUCAAACAGCACAGAAUCCCACAAGGGUUUCAUCCAGAAGUAUUUUGAACCUUCUGGGGAAGUAGGCUUCUUCAAAAGCCGUUUUUGUUGUAUAUGACACCUGUCAAAAGGAUUUAUGCCUGCUUUUGGAGUCAAUAUUUCUGUAAUUAGUUUUUAAACUCAAUAAAAGGUGAAUUAUUUCCAUCUGAAUAUGGUAUUAUCUACAGCAGAAGUGUAUAGAUUUUUAAGCAAAGAAACACUUUUUCUAGACUCUGAUUACAAAGCAGUUUAAUUUGAAGUGACUUCAGUGCCACACAUCACUGGGGCAGUAUAUUCCUGCACUUCAUCUGUGCUGAGCACUACUUUAUUUGAUCAUAAUGAGUCAGCUUAGAGAGCCAAGAUGGCAGAAGACUUACUAAAGCAAGUACUGAAAGGAUCAGUACAGAGCAAAGGCGAAUACAAGACACGAGAGUAGAGACAUGGCAGCAAGUAGUUAGACCAGCUUGGGUUGCCAUGACCUGAGUCACAUUUCACAGACCUCAGAAACAAAUCAUGUAUUUCCAGCACCAUUACAAUAAAAUUCAGUUGUCUGCUGUAUCUCAGAUCACUGCACAAGGGCUGUCUCCUUCCAAGAGAUUCCCGGGUUGGCACACUCAGUUCGAGGUAAAUUAAUUUCACUUACUUGAAAACAAGUAGCAUAUUUUAAGUAUUGUUACUAAAUACAAACUAAUUAUCAAUAAUGCCAGGUGAUUUUUCUGUCUUUAUUUCUUUCUCUUUAUUUUUUAAAAAGGCGUCAUGGUUUAUCAGACAACAUAUUCCUUAAUUGACUUCCCCCCCCCCCCCGGCUUUAGAAAAUAAGCAAUUUGAACUUUACACUAAUUUCAUGUGCUUAACAUACUUAAUGUGGGUGCAUAGUAAUAUGGCAACACUAUCCUCUAGUGGCAGUUUUGUGUUAACACAAAUCUCGAUCUACAUCAGCGUGAAUUGGUUUAUGUGUGUUCAAAAGAUGGUAUGUUGGCCACAAUAUUAUUUAUAAAUUCAGAGUUCUGUUUUACAUAACAAGGAAUAAUUAAAUAAUUUCUACAUACAGUGUGAUGAUAAUACAUGCUUCAACACCAGCAUCAGCUGCACUAUAUAUAUUUUUAUGUGACUAUAAACCAGACUGUAUACAUGAUUACUUGUGACUUUGCAGACUAUCAAACUUACGUAGCUGUAUUCUGCUAUGGUAGUUUUUUCAUAGAUACGUCGUUUAACAUGGUAGGAUCACUAGUUGGUUUUUGGUCUACUCUUGAAUUCUGGCAUUAAAGUCUAAUUCUCUUGGUAAGAGUGUCUCUAGACACUGGUAUCCACAAGCACAUGAAAUAUCCUUAAUUUUUUUUUCAGUUUGCAGUUUCAAAAAUCCAGUAUAUAGCUUAAAGGAGAAAUAAGGAAAGGCAAAAAAAAAAAAAAGAGAGAACAAACUGAGAUUUCAAUGCAUCACUUUUUCAAAAUUACCCACUAAACAGAUCAGUCUAGAUUGAAGGUGUAGUUGCUCACUGUGAAGAUCAAUGUUACAAAAAAUGACAUGAUUUCUCACUCAUCCCCUAAAAAUGUUUCUGCUCUGGAAGUUUGGAAAUCUAUCUAUGUAAAAAAUACAAUGAGACUAAUCAUAUUUUAGGAGAUGGGAUUGUACCUUAUAAAUGAUACCACUUAAUGCACCAUAAAACAUAAUCAGUGGAUACUAAAGAGGUUAUACUGACAUUGAUGCAUAUUACAGAAUUCAUAAAAGUUACUUGCACUUUAUAAACUUCCUUUAAUUCACAAGUGUAUUUGUUGCUAUUGUGCCAAGUUGUUUUUCUGAUAUCUGUACAAAGAAUUCAAGGUAAAUGUUUUCUUCAUUUCAUGUGAAUUGUUAAUUAAAAACCAAAAGCAAAAAUAAAAACAUAAAAAUGCA
Long non-coding RNA from Pezoporus occidentalis (night parrot), 2946 nucleotides. RefSeq lists it as uncharacterized. The record is from RefSeq and is a predicted model, not a curated record. NCBI's taxonomy places the organism in Eukaryota, Metazoa, Chordata, Aves, Psittaciformes, Psittacidae. The transcript has 3 exons.